Molecule: microRNA precursor, 95 nt
Organism: Nicotiana attenuata
Lineage: Eukaryota; Viridiplantae; Streptophyta; Magnoliopsida; Solanales; Solanaceae
Rfam family: MIR6152 microRNA precursor family
Source: Rfam
UGGACAAAUUAUUGUAUUCGACUGUAUUCACGGCGUGAAACAGGGGAUUACACUGUUUUUAAACGGAAAGUGAAUCAAUUAACAUAUAGACUCCU